Molecule: long non-coding RNA, 381 nt
Filed under: Homo sapiens (human)
Lineage: Eukaryota; Metazoa; Chordata; Mammalia; Primates; Hominidae
Description: HSALNT0124302
Source: RNAcentral
CGGGGGGAUCCCAGAGAGCACAACAUGGCAAUCACGAAAAUAUGUUGGUGUCAUUUCUCGGUCUUCAAAAAUGACGGACACUGCUGGUCGCUGUGGCUUCCUCCUACGCGUUCGGUCACUCCUGCACAUGUCCGCAGUAGUGGUGCUCUCGGGGACCCCCUCGCCACCCCACAAUACCGCUCACCACAUGGCCAAACAGGCUGAAUUCCUAGAAGACAGGAAUUUAUGGUGUGAGAGCUCCAGUCCCCGCAGACCCACUGCCAAGGUCAACAGCACGAGGCGGGCAUCCCUGCCAAGUGGGGAGUGGAGUCGUGGCUUUAGGAGUUGGUUGCAAGGAAAAACCAAAGUACGUGCAUUAAAAAAGAAAAAAAAAAAAAAGAA